UAUACAGUGACGUCAUUUUGAAGUCCUUUGAUGAUGAUGGUCUUUAGUAUGUAGCUGAUGAUUGAUGAUGAGAUGUUUGUGUUGUUCUGUGGAGAUCAUUCAAGAACUGAACCUGUUAAACUUAUCUGCACUUAUUUGUGUUCGUCCUACUGCUCAGCCUAAUGCGAAUCGUCAAGAGACACAAGAAAUGUGGAGUUUGAACAAAUGUCUGAAAAAUAAAUUUUUCAGCUUUAGAUAGAUUCUGUUCUGUUCUUCAUUCAUUAUGUUUGUGAACGUAGGUGAAAUUUAACUGUUGGAAAGCAAACAGUGUUUAUUUCUGUAAAAGAGAAUUAGCCUCGUUUACAUGGUGAUAUCGCUGAAAGAAACCAUUACUACCUUAGUUAUGACGUUUGACAUUUGUCAUCAUCCUACAGUCUGUUCACGUCACUCUGAUGCGACUUGGAGACAUUGAAAGUGUGGAGUUUGAACGAGUGGCUGAAAUUCAAUUCUCUCCGCUUUUUUUAGUUCUCAAAUUUAAGCUCAUGCAGUUAAGUUUUAACUCAGGUUUUGUUAUUAACUGAAAAUACCAACAGACUCAGACUUUUAGAACAAACUAAGAGUCAGAUCAGCAGAAACAAAAACACGGAAAUGUUUCCUGUAACUGCGUCGCUCUGCUCGACUUUGCUGUUUGUCGGUGUCUUUGUGUUUGUCUCUGCAGGUGAGGUUUAUAAACCAAACGGUGUUUCCCUCUGAGAUAAAGAGGAAUAAACAUCAGUCUGGUUUACAUGUUACUUCCCAAACAUUUAGUUUCUGAGCGUCUGCAUGUGUGACGGCAUCACGAGGUCUGGUGGUGUCUGUGGAUUUACCCGCUUGGUCAGCGGUCCAGUUUCCAGCACAGAGACUAAGAAACCAGAAAAUCAUCACAGCUGAGCCUGGACAGAAUGUCAUGCUACGAUGUCGAGCUCCAAACAACAGCAGCAGCAUCACCGGUGUAGAGUGGAGCAGAGCUGACCUGUGAGACGAAUAUGUUCUUUUGUUCCGGGAUGACCUGUUUGACCCAGAACAACAGCAUCCAUCUUUUAAGAACCGGGUGGAUCUGCAGGACAGACAGAUGAAGGAUGGAGACGUGUCUCUGAUUCUGAAGAAUGUGACGAUUAAUGAUGAUGGAACAUAUGAGUGCCGUGUCUUCACCAGAGGAACAAACAUAAAGAAAAGAGAAAAUCUGGAUGGUGACCCCAUCAGCAUCAUCUACCUUCAUGUUGAUCCUCCAGGUCAGACAGGACCAUCUGCUGGAGUGAUCGUUGGACUGAUCAUCGGUCUGAGUGCUGUGCUUCUUGUUGCUGCUGUUGUUGGUUUUCUGGUCUACAAAAAACAUAAACAACAGCAGAGUCAGGAUUCAUACCAGCCUCCUGUUGAACUGUAGCAUGUUUGAAGAUGCAAGAGAUGCCUGUAUCACUAAGGCACAAAGCAGAGGUCUGACUUCAGAAACUAAAACAAUCACAUCCAUGUAGAAAACCAGAAGAGUUGCUUCAUUCCAAAGAGAUUUCACAGCAGAGACAAUGUUAAAGAAAAAGCCAACUGUUCCUCAAGUAAGAAAAAAUAACAGAUAAUCAAAAAGAAGAAAAAGGGUGGAGAACAAGUUGCAGUAAAUGUAUCAUCUGAAAAUGGGAAACUGCAAUUAUUUAAAUUGCAGGUUAUUUUAACCAUAAUAUGACAAUCCAAUUUAAGAAAAAAAAAUUCUCCAGCAUCUGUGGAAGAGUCCUAAGAAAUUAGACCCAAAGUGAUCCAAGAAGGCUCAAAGAGAUUUUAACAACAGGCUGCUUGCAGUAGUAAACAAGUUUACAGUAGAUGCUGCAUAAUGUUGAAAGAAUUACUAAAGCUGACACUGUUACUGUUAGCAUUGUUAACAACAUACAUUGUUAUGUUCCAACACUGAGCAUUUUUGGCUUCUGAUGUAUUGGACGAUUGUAAAUUAUUAUGAUUAGUAGUCAUGUUCAGUUUUGAUGACGUGUGUUAAAUGUUUCAAACACACACAGGUCUUCAUCAUUUGAUUGUGUGUUUGGUCUGAGGCAUCUAAAUUAGUCUGUAAAGAAAAAUGAAUGUCAGAUCUGUGUUUGUGAGGUUCGCCCUGCAUAUUUACAUUUCUGUGGAACACACAAAUUACUUUUUCAUAGUUUGGUUCUCAUCAGUAUCCAUGAGCUCAGUGCCCAGAAUGUCACAGAAUCAGAACCAGUGAGUGUGUUUGUUUCAUCUUUAGGUUCAGUUAUCUGUGAGAUCAAACUCAUUCUGAGAGGUUUGAACCACACAGACUGAUCCUCAUGUGGAGAUCAAAGACAGUAACAGUAAUUUUGACAGUGUCAUGAAACCAAAGCUACGAAUGGUUUAUGUAUUAAAUGUUUCCUCUGAUCUGUGAAACUUGAACUUUUCAUUCCAUGAACGACUCUUUGGUUGUUUUUUUUUCUGGUUGUUAUUUCAGUUUAAAUAUUUCAAGAACUUGUUACAUUUGUAAUGUUUUAUUUGACUCUUUUUGAAUCUGUUUUUGCUAAUAAAAA
Long non-coding RNA from Oreochromis aureus, 2531 nucleotides. RefSeq lists it as uncharacterized. The transcript has 3 exons. Lineage: Eukaryota; Metazoa; Chordata; Actinopteri; Cichliformes; Cichlidae. The record is from RefSeq and is a predicted model, not a curated record.